RNAcentral lists this ribosomal RNA (497 nucleotides) under uncultured bacterium. Its description in RNAcentral is "partial 16S ribosomal RNA". It matches the Rfam family "Bacterial small subunit ribosomal RNA", at positions 28 to 507 of the family's 1533-position model. The record is from RNAcentral.
GACGAACGCUGGCGGCGUGCCUAAUACAUGCAAGUUGAGCGAUGAAGAUUGGUGCUUGCACCAAUUUGAAGAGCAGCGAACGGGUGAGUAACGCGUGGGGAAUCUGCCUUUGAGCGGGGGACAACAUUUGGAAACGAAUGCUAAUACCGCAUAACAACUUUAAACAUAAGUUUUAAGUUUGAAAGAUGCAAUUGCAUCACUCAAAGAUGAUCCCGCGUUGUAUUAGCUAGUUGGUGAGGUAAAGGCUCACCAAGGCGAUGAUACAUAGCCGACCUGAGAGGGUGAUCGGCCACAUUGGGACUGAGACACGGCCCAAACUCCUACGGGAGGCAGCAGUAGGGAAUCUUCGGCAAUGGACGAAAGUCUGGCCGAGCAACGCCGCGUGAGUGAAGAAGGUUUUCGGAUCGUAAAACUCUGUUGGUAGAGGAGAACGUUGGUGAGAGUGGAAAGCUCAUCAAGUGACGGUAACUACCCAGAAAGGGACGGCUAACUACGUG